Long non-coding RNA from Camelus dromedarius (Arabian camel), 2008 nucleotides. RefSeq lists it as uncharacterized. NCBI's taxonomy places the organism in Eukaryota, Metazoa, Chordata, Mammalia, Artiodactyla, Camelidae. The transcript has 4 exons. The record is from RefSeq and is a predicted model, not a curated record.
GUUUAAAGAUGCGGUACACGGAGGGUCCCUCGUGGAUGAUGAGACCUGAGGCCGCAGGGAGAAGAGAAAGACAAAGCAAGCUUAGCGAGUCUUUGGCUGCCUCGCCGAGUGCAUGAAACAGCUGGGAACCUACCUGCAGCGCCUUUGCCUGCCUUGGCUCCGCCCCUCCUGCUCCUUGGCCUGACAAAGUCCAAAUUCGUUGUCCACUGAGGCAUAAUAAAGUUCAUUCUGGCUCCUGGGAAACAACAUACUGAAGAGGGACAAGGGUAGGACCAGAAGACCAAGCAGGAAGUGAGGUAGUGAUUGAAGCUGGAAAUGAUGGUGGCCGAGAUGAGGGUGAGCACGGUGGAGACGGUGAGAAAUCGCUGGAGUCAGGAGUUCUGACGAUCAGAAGUUGAAAACCAGUGUCACUGGGCUAAAACGGUGUCAGCAGGGCUGGUUGUUUCUGGUGGCUUUGAGGGAAGGAUCGAUUUCCUUGCCUUUUUCAGCUUCGAGAAGUUGCCUGCAGUCCUUGCUUCUUCCUUGCAUAACUCCACCUUUUUCUCAUCUAUCAGCCUUCUUAAUUUUAGUGGUGGGAAAUCAUAACUCUGGCCUAAAAUUACAGAGUAAAGCUCCGAUCCCCUUCCUAUGUAAUGUCUGUCCUGCGUGUCUAUACAUGGUAUAAAUAAAUAUAUGCACAUAUAAAAAAUUAUAUUAAAAGUUAUAUUCCUAUUCUGAAAUGAAACUCAUUAGAUAAUAUAAGCUACUGUUUUCUCUUUUUUAAAUUAAUAUAAUGCCCUGACAGAUGAUGUAAAGAAAAACAAAAAGGAAGUCAUUUAUAACAAUAUAAUAUACAUUUCAGUGUAAAUGCUAGGGCACGACUGCUUUAGAAGACAAACCAAAAGCCUCGUGCAUUUCCAGAAUGCCGCCUCUGGGAUGGCAUCCCCUGUGCUGAGGACCACUGAUCUACAAAAGUGCUGAAGACAGGAAUGGUGGGAGGGAGUGUGUGCACAGGUGCAUCGGGGAUGGGAGGAGUGAGUAGGCAGUCAGCAGCCAGCAGCAUCAAGAAGGGAAAAGGGGUGGAGAUAUAGGAUGACAUUCACUUCAUAGCAGCUGGGGCUUCUGAGAGAUAAGGGGAGAGAGGCAGUUGGGUAGGGGUAAUGGUGAGCAGGGAGGACAUGGCCUCACCUCCAAGCUCUACAGAAUAUAGUGUAAGGGAGAAAAAGCAGCCAUCACUUGAGACAGCCAUGCAAGAAACAAUAUCCCCAGGAGACAGCUACAUUUCAGUUAAAGGAUGAUGAAGGGAACACUUGGAGAAGAGGCUGCCAUUGGUGGACUAUGAAGUCCAGAGGGCAUGUGGAAGGGCCGGGAAGAUGGGGCCCGUUAAGAGAUGAGCGAGACAGGAAAGGGAUGACUGUCCACAUCAUGAGGGUGGUCUGCGAGGCUGGGACCCAUGGUGGAUGAGACGACAUGGGGGAUGAGGCACAGGGGGAUUGGCCCUGCAGCACUGUAAGUCUAGGGGUGGCGGGUCUGGCCCCGGAGGGGAAGAGCUGACUCACAGAUGCAAACGGCAAUGAGUCACUUCCGCCAACUUGAUGACAAGCAAAGAGGCUGGAUGGCAACAUCUCAAAACCUCUUCAACCUCCAACACACUGUGAUUCUAGGAGACAAGACAGCUACCCAUGGCUCCUCUUUCUUCCAGGACUCCAACAGAGCCUGAAAUUGCCCUUUGUGCAAUAGGUCUUCAAGGGUCCACUGAAGGAGAGAUGGUCUCCCUGUAGCCCAGUUGUUCCUAAUCCUUUGGGUCACGUACUCAUUUGACAAAAGCUAAGGACCAUCUUCCUGGGAAAAACCAGACACAUGAAAUGUCCUUAUGAUUUUAGGGGGUUCAUAAAUCUUCUUUGGACCACUUGUGGGCCCCUCCCUUGACCUCCUGCCUGGUUAUGGACAAGGAGACAUCCUCUUUCUCACCAUCUCCCAAUGGGCCAACUCUCAUCACUUCUUUCAGCCUUUUCAAUACAUGCCUAUG